RNAcentral lists this ribosomal RNA (596 nucleotides) under uncultured bacterium. RNAcentral describes it as "bacterial SSU rRNA". It matches the Rfam family "Bacterial small subunit ribosomal RNA", at positions 338 to 955 of the family's 1533-position model. The record is from RNAcentral.
CCUACGGGAGGCAGCAGUGGGGAAUCUUGCGCAAUGGGCGAAAGCCUGACGCAGCCAUGCCGCGUGAAUGAUGAAGGUCUUAGGAUUGUAAAAUUCUUUCACCGGGGACGAUAACGACGGUACCCGGAGAAGAAGCCCCGGCUAACUUCGUGCCAGCAGCCGCGGUAAUACGAAGGGGGCUAGCGUUGCUCGGAAUUACUGGGCGUAAAGGGAGCGUAGGCGGAUAGCUUAGUCAGAGGUGAAAGCCCAGGGCUCAACCUUGGAAUUGCCCUUGAUACUGGCUAUCUUGAGUACGGAAGAGGUAUGUGGAACUCCGAGUGUAGAGGUGAAAUUCGUAGAUAUUCGGAAGAACACCAGUGGCGAAGGCGACAUACUGGUCCGUUACUGACGCUGAGGCUCGAAAGCGUGGGGAGCAAACAGGAUUAGAUACCCUGGUAGUCCACGCUGUAAACGAUGAGUGCUAGUUGUCGGCAUGCAUGCAUGUCGGUGACGCAGCUAACGCAUUAAGCACUCCGCCUGGGGAGUACGGUCGCAAGAUUAAAACUCAAAAGAGUAGUAGGCGUGAGAGAGCGACGACGACGACGACGGAGGAGGAG